GAUGAACGCUGGCGGCGUGCCUAAUACAUGCAAGUCGAGCGAACGGACGAGAAGCUUGCUUCUCUGAUGUUAGCGGCGGACGGGUGAGUAACACGUGGAUAACCUACCUAUAAGACUGGGAUAACUUCGGGAAACCGGAGCUAAUACCGGAUAAUAUUUUGAACCGCAUGGUUCAAAAGUGAAAGACGGUCUUGCUGUCACUUAUAGAUGGAUCCGCGCUGCAUUAGCUAGUUGGUAAGGUAACGGCUUACCAAGGCAACGAUGCAUAGCCGACCUGAGAGGGUGAUCGGCCACACUGGAACUGAGACACGGUCCAGACUCCUACGGGAGGCAGCAGUAGGGAAUCUUCCGCAAUGGGCGAAAACCUGACGGAGCAACGCCGCGUGAGUGAUGAAGGUCUUCGGAUCGUAAAACUCUGUUAUUAGGGAAGAACAUAUGUGUAAGUAACUGUGCACAUCCUGACGGUACCUAAUCAGAAAGCCACGGCUAACUACGUG
RNAcentral lists this ribosomal RNA (497 nucleotides) under uncultured bacterium. RNAcentral describes it as "partial 16S ribosomal RNA". It matches the Rfam family "Bacterial small subunit ribosomal RNA", at positions 28 to 507 of the family's 1533-position model. The record is from RNAcentral.